AACGCUAGCGACAGGCCUAACACAUGCAAGUCAGGGGCAGCACAAGGAGCAAUCUGAGGUGGCGACCGGCGCACGGGUGAGUAACACGUAUGCAACCUGCCUGUAAGCGGGGAAUAACCCGUUGAAAGACGGACUAAUACCGCAUAAUACUAAACUACUGCAUGGUAAUUUAUUUAAACAUUUAUGGCUUACAGAUGGGCAUGCGCAUGAUUAGCUAGUUGGAGAGGUAACGGCUCCCCAAGGCAACGAUCAUUAGGGGUUCUGAGAGGAAGGUCCCCCACACUGGUACUGAGACACGGACCAGACUCCUACGGGAGGCAGCAGUGAGGAAUAUUGGUCAAUGGACGAGAGUCUGAACCAGCCAAGUCGCGUGCAGGAAGAAUGUCCCUAUGGAUUGUAAACUGCUUUUGCAGGGGAAUAAAGUGCAUCACGUGUGAUGUUUUGUAUGUACUCUGCGAAUAAGGAUCGGCUAACUCCGUGCCAGCAGCCGC
RNAcentral lists this ribosomal RNA (491 nucleotides) under uncultured bacterium. RNAcentral's name for it is "bacterial SSU rRNA". It matches the Rfam family "Bacterial small subunit ribosomal RNA", at positions 32 to 518 of the family's 1533-position model. The record is from RNAcentral.